Molecule: long non-coding RNA, 631 nt
Organism: Phyllostomus hastatus (greater spear-nosed bat)
Lineage: Eukaryota; Metazoa; Chordata; Mammalia; Chiroptera; Phyllostomidae
Exons: 3
Source: RefSeq, a predicted model, not a curated record
AGUGUUAUUUCUAUUCCUAAACCUGAAGCAGAGGUUUAAUUUUUCUCCCACUCUGACUUAUGGGACUAAAUUUUGUACUGUAGGUGCUGGGUACCUGGGAAGGCACAGCAUUUUCACCUUUAGAUUUCCCACGGUACUUCACGGCAUUCCCUUCAUCUUCUUCACCCCUUCUAUUGGUGGCGGCAUACGUGCGAGUGUUGAAGAGCCAGGUUUUGAUUUGGACAGAAGAUAUUCUUCCAUAGAAAUGAUUCAUACUAACUACAGAAAACAGUCAAGAUACUUUGCCAUAAGAUCUAGGACAAGAGGACUCAGCAAUCUUUCCCACCUUGCAGAUCUCCUGGGGACCCUUCACCUGCUUCUGCAACUGCAAAUGAUUGGACAUUCAUUUACCUUGGCUGUUCCUUCACGUGUGCAAACCUUUUGUUCACUGUGCAUCAGGCUGGACCUGGCCUGAAAUUUCUGAAAGAAGGGCCAACAUAAUGCCAAGAACUCUCAGAUGAAGAGGACCUUUCUAGAUCUGUAACUGGGAUUAAUCAAUUCUUCAGGAGGAAGUUUCAACUAAUUCUCAAGAUAAAUCAAAAUAGUCCUCUGACUGUCCUUUAAAUACUGAAGGUGUAAACAAGUGUCUGAC